Molecule: long non-coding RNA, 2906 nt
Organism: Astatotilapia calliptera (eastern happy)
Lineage: Eukaryota; Metazoa; Chordata; Actinopteri; Cichliformes; Cichlidae
Source: Ensembl
AUUUUUACUAAUUGUGCAAUUAGAUAGGAACCUUUUCUAUAGUUCCGUCUGUUGUUGCUAAGAGGGUAUUUUUGGCUGGCACACUCAGCAAGCUAAUUGAGACGAGCCACGAGGUUUGCACGUCCACAGUAAGAUAGUAAAUAGUAAGAUAAAUAAAAGAGUGCCUUUUUUGGACCUCCCCACGAUGUAAGGAUUAAAGUUUUAUUCCCUUUGAGUGAGGCCAAUGAGGUAAAUGUUUUCUUUUGUUUAUUUUCGUUGUAUGUAAAUAUGCUAGUGUUGCGUGAUAUUCUAGUGCAAUUACCGCAGUGUGAGGUGUAAUGUGUAUUUUAUUGAUUGUUUUGUUGGAAUGUUUCGCCACAUAUAAUGCUUAGGGGCUUUAUUAAGAAUAUUCAUUUAAGUUUGUAUUUCUUUUUAGUUCUGACGGCAUUGUAUCGGCUGUGGUUGGACAUCAUUACAUGUUAAGGCAUGUCGAAGAAUCCUCCUGUCCGAAAUAAAUGUCAGUUAAAACACAAGGAACAAGUUGAGCUUUAUUACGACUCGAGGGGAGUAACAAGCCCUAUAAUUAUCUACUAGUCACAAACACACUGCAACAGUAAGACUUGUUGAUUACACAUAGAUGAUUUAACUACUUUUUUCUUCAGCGCUCCGAAAAGACACAGAGGCCAAUAGUUUUAAAUAGAGCACCACAAACAACAGGUAUUCCUUUAGAAAUAAACUUUUCUUGUGUUACUUCUAAAAUCUACAGAUUCUUAACUCUGCAACAGUUAGACAGAGGGGGUUACAGUUAGGCCUCCAACAGUCAGCAAAACAAGUCAUAAAACAAUAAAAGAGGCUCCCUUAUCAAGAGCAUCCCAGCACACAUCCCAACUGUAGUUCCAUUACAAACAGUUUCCUUUAUCUUAUCAUGUCAGAGGCCAACUGAAACCAAGUCCACCUAUAUAAAAAACACCCCAUCAGACACAGUAUUUUCCUCAGCACUUCACAACUGCCGCAAGGUAUAGCGUUUUAACUUUUUUUUUUUCGGAUCCCAGACACACGGUAGUUAGCACACAGUUUGGACACGUAGAAAACAUCGUUUGUUUGAAACACAUCAGCAGAGAGGUAGAAUUCAUAGCUGUUCAUAAGAGUUUAAUUUAAUCAAACCUCAUUUUACGGAUCUAAGUGGCUCCUCAUCACUAGCCAAUUCACCAUUUUAUUUAAAUAUCUGAAUUUUCGGAAUGAGGAUCCAAGCGGGACACAGAGGAUGCUAGUUUUAACACACCAGAAUGCAAAUAUAAAUAAAAGCCUGACUAUCCUAAGAGCCUAGCUGCAGCGACACCUUUUUUUUCACACGGAUUCCUGGAUGUGCGUUCGAGCCGACUUUGCUACCCGCACAGAGCGUUUCUGCCAGUCGGGUGCUGCUUAUACAGUAGAGAAAAGCAACAGUAAAGCGUGUUUCUCUGCUCCAAGAAAUCCGAGGGCCUUUCACACAGUAAGCAUGUCUGUUAUACCCAGCGCAUAAAUGUCUCUGUGUUAGCGCUGAUUAUUCAAACCCUGUUUAAAAUGUGACACAUAUGUUAUCCAAAAACGUUUCCUCUAAAUUUGCAAAGUUACUGAUUUAAAAAUUAUAUUUUUGAAUUUUUAAUUGCAUGACAAACAUACGAUAGACUCUUGAGCAUAUUUAUAUAGCUAAAUUCACAAUGGUAUAACCGUGCUAAAUAAAAGAGGCCCAAGCACCAAAGCACUCUAAUGCAAGCCUCUAAACUGUAUGUUGAUAAGUACAUGAAGCGUACCUUUUCCUCUACAGCUGAAAACAGUCUGUAUCCAUACCUUGAGGAUCUGCUGAAUUGUUUUUAAUGGCACUUUUUUUGCUGAACUGCAGAUGAUGAUGAAUUCCUCUUUAUUGUAGAAACUGUCCCUAAGCUAUUGUUGCUCAUACUUACUGAGUUCCCUAGCUACUUCCUUACUAUGUCAGUAAACUUUUUGAAAAGGAAGCUGUUGUAGAUUUAAAGAAACAUCUUAAUUAAAGCAAAGGCAAAAAAUUGGAAUGAAUUUUAUGUGACUGUUCAUAUUAAAGCCAACAAGUGAAAAUCCAAAAACGGCUCCAAUCCUUUGCAUUAAUGAUCUCCCUCUCUCUCUCUCUGUGUGUGUGUGUGUGUGUGUGUGUGUGUGUGUGUGUGUGUGUGUGUGUGUGUGUGUGUGUGUGUGUGUGUGUGUGUGUGUGUGUGUGUGUGCACCCAAACAACCCCUAUUUCGACCAAAGGGAGGCUUUCUGGUUAAUUAAAACAUAUUUCUGUUCUUUAAGGUUUGAGUGUCUACCAACUACUGAACUUCCUUGUUCAAUAAUUUCUUUAGCAGGAAAAUGAGAGGGCUUCCCCCCAUCUAUGAGGUAAGAGUACUUGUUGUUUUUGUUGUUUAAACAUAAAUGAAAAGAUAUCUUUUUAAUACACAGGAUGAGGAAUACAUUGUUUAAUUAACAUGCUUUUUAAUACACAGGGCAAGGUAUUCUGAAAUCUUCUGCUACCUGCUGCUGGUUAUUGUUGGUUUUACUUCCUUAUAUUCAAGCAUCAGAUGUUUAAGGAGCACUACCGUAAUGCCAAAACUCCCAAUGACUAGUAAACUGGAAGAAAGACAUAAUAUAAAUUUGGAUGACACACUUAAUUUUGGACACAGCUUUCUGAAGAACCAGGAAACUGACCCGGUGACAUUUACCGCAAGAGAUCAGCACAGAAAUACACAUCCUCAGAAGUUGCCUCGCAUUAUCUUAUUCUUUGAAAUUGACUUGUAGCACACACACCUCGUGACAUACACACACACACACACACACACAGCUUACACACAGACAGCAUCGGGACCUGCGUAACAGGAAAUGUGAUUAUAUUUGCAUAUUGACGAUGUAACCUAUAAAAAUAAACGAAUACUGCAGC